Molecule: ribosomal RNA, 554 nt
Filed under: Munidopsis recta
Lineage: Eukaryota; Metazoa; Arthropoda; Malacostraca; Decapoda; Munidopsidae
Description: partial 16S ribosomal RNA
Rfam family: Bacterial large subunit ribosomal RNA
Source: RNAcentral
CGCCUGUUUAUCAAAAACAUGUCUAUAUGAAGUUAUAUGAAGUCUGGCCUGCCCAUUGAAUUUUAUUUAAAGGCCGCGGUAUUUUGACUGUGCAAAGGUAGCAUAAUAAUUAGUUUUUUAAUUGGGGGCUUGUAUGAAUGGUUGGACAAAGAAAAGUCUGUCUUUAGCUUUUUUUUGAAUUUUACAUUUAGAUGAAAAGGUUUAAAUAGGUUUAAGGGACGAUAAGACCCUAUAAAGCUUUACAUUUUAUUUAUUUUUAUUGAGAAGAGAAGGUUAAUCGAUAAGGAUGGAGGAUGGUGUUUUGUUGGGGUGACAAGGAUGUAAAUAAAAAACUGUCCAGUAAAGAAACAAGUAGUGUUUGGAAAAUAAAAGAUCCUUUGUAAAGAUAAAAGUUUAAGUUACUUUAGGGAUAACAGCGCUAUUUUUUUUGAGAGUUCUUAUUGAAAAGAAAGUUUGCGACCUCGAUGUUGAAUUAAGGUUUCCUUAUGGUGCAGAAGCUAUAAAGGUGAGUCUGUUCGACUUUCAAAACUUUACGUGCUCUGAGUUCAGACCGG